This 486-nucleotide ribosomal RNA is filed under the name uncultured bacterium. RNAcentral's name for it is "bacterial SSU rRNA". It matches the Rfam family "Bacterial small subunit ribosomal RNA", at positions 627 to 1118 of the family's 1533-position model. The record is from RNAcentral.
UUGUGACUGCAAGGCUGGAGUGCGGCAGAGGGGGAUGGAAUUCCGCGUGUAGCAGUGAAAUGCGUAGAUAUGCGGAGGAACACCGAUGGCGAAGGCAAUCCCCUGGGCCUGCACUGACGCUCAUGCACGAAAGCGUGGGGAGCAAACAGGAUUAGAUACCCUGGUAGUCCACGCCCUAAACGAUGUCAACUGGUUGUUGGGAAUACACUGUCAUCGUCUGAGCGAAAGCAUUAAGUGACCCACCUGGGGAGUACGACCGCGAGGUUGCAACUCAAAGUAAUUGACGGGCGCCCGCACAGGCGGAGGAGCUUGUGUUUUAUUACGAUGAUACGCGAAGCAUCUUUCGUGUCAAAGAUGGGAAGACGUUUCUUAAAGACAGCAUACCUUUCUUCGCUUUUUAUUAAGAGCUGCUGCGUUGUUGUCCGCUCUUGUGUCGGGGGGUGUCGUUAAUAUCCCACAACAGGCGCACCCCCUAUUAUUAGUUGC